GCCCUAAUAGUAUAUGCAUUACCUUGGUCUUGUAAACCAAAAAUGAAGUUAUAAACUUCUUAGAGCAAUAUA
RNAcentral lists this transfer RNA (72 nucleotides) under Marmota monax (woodchuck). RNAcentral describes it as "tRNA-Thr". The record is from RNAcentral. Lineage: Eukaryota; Metazoa; Chordata; Mammalia; Rodentia; Sciuridae.